Molecule: non-coding RNA, 392 nt
Organism: Saimiri boliviensis boliviensis (Bolivian squirrel monkey)
Lineage: Eukaryota; Metazoa; Chordata; Mammalia; Primates; Cebidae
Source: the annotation of a RefSeq genome assembly
AGAAGGCCCUGAGAGCACAGCUCCUCACCAUGGACUGGACUUGGAGGAUCCUAUCUUUGGUGGUCAUGGCUGCAGGUGCCCAGUCCCAGGUGCAGCUGGUGCAGUCUGGGGCUGAGGUGAAGCAGCCUGGGGCAUCAGUGAAGAUCUCCUGCAAGGCUUCUGGAUAUACCUUUACUAGCAACUGUAUGCACUGGGUGCGCCAGGCCCCUGCACAAGGGCUUGAGUGGAUGGGAUAUGUGUGCCCUAGUGAUGGCAGCACAGGUUACGCACAGAAGUUCCAGGGCAGAGUCACCAUGACCAGGGACACGUCCACGAACAUAGCCUAUGUGGAGCUGAGCAGCCUGAGACCUGAGGACACGGCCGUGUAUUACUGUGCAAGAGACACAGUGUGA